AAUGCGGCGGACGGGUGAGUAACGCGUGGGCAACCUGCCCUGUACUGUGGGAUAACACCGGGAAACUGGUGCUAAUACCGCAUGAACCGAGAUCGUGGCAUCACGGAGACGGCAAAGGGAAACCGAUACAGGAUGGGCCCGCGUCCAAUUAGCUGGUUGGUGGGGUAAAGGCCUACCAAGGCGACGAUUGGUAGCCGAGCUGAGAGGUUGAUCGGCCACAUUGGGACUGAGACACGGCCCAGACUCCUACGGGAGGCAGCAGUGGGGAAUAUUGCGCAAUGGGGGGAACCCUGACGCAGCGACGCCGCGUGAAGGAAGAAGGUCUUCGGAUCGUAAACUUCUUUGACUGGGGAAGAAGAAGUGACGGUACCCAGAGAACAAGCCACGGCUAACUACGUGCCAGCAGCCGCGGUAAUACGUAGGUGGCUAGCGUUGUCCGGAAUUACUGGGUGUAAAGGGCGUGUAGGCGGGGAUGCAAGUCAGGUGUGAAAAUCCGAGGCUCAACUUCGGGACUGCAUCUGAAACUGUGUCUCUUGAGUACUGGAGAGGGAAGCGGAAUUCCUAGUGUAGCGGUGAAAUGCGUAGAGAUUAGGAGGAACACCAGUGGCGAAGGCGGCUUCCUGGACAGAGACUGACGCUGAGGCGCGAAAGCGUGGGGAGCGAACAGGAUUAGAUACCCUGGUAGUCCACGCCGUAAACGAUGGAUACUAGGUGUAGGAGGUAUCGACCCCUUCUGUGCCGGAGUUAACACAAUAAGUAUCCCACCUGGGGAGUACGGCUGCAAGGUUGAAACUCAAAGGAAUAGACGGGGGCCCGCACAAGCAGUGGAGUAUGUGGUGUAAUUUGAAGCAACGCGAAGAACCUUACCAGGGCUUGACAUCCCGAGACGUUAUUGGAGACAGUAAUUUCCUACGGGACAGGGAGACAGGUGGUGCAUGGUUGUGGUCAGCUCGUGUCGUGAGAUGUUGGGUUAAGUCUCGCAACGAGCGCAACCCAAGUUGAUUAGUUGCCAGCAAGUAAAGUUGGGCACUCUAGCGAGACUGCCGGUGACAAUUCGGAGGAAGGUG
Molecule: ribosomal RNA, 1067 nt
Filed under: uncultured organism
Description: bacterial SSU rRNA
Rfam family: Bacterial small subunit ribosomal RNA
Source: RNAcentral